UACAGAGGGUGCUAGCGUUGUUCGGAAUCAUUGGGCGUAAAGGGCGUGUAGGCGGUUUGUUAAGUCAUGUGUGAAAUCCCUCGGCUCAACCGGGGAACGACGCAUGAAACUGGCAAGCUAGAGUACCAAAGAGGGGGUGGAAUUCCCGGUGUAGCGGUGAAAUGCGUAGAUAUCAAGUGGAACACCAGUGGCGAAGGCGAGUCCCUGGACAACUCCUGACACUGAGGCACGAAAGCUAGGGGAGCAAACAGG
Molecule: ribosomal RNA, 252 nt
Filed under: uncultured bacterium
Lineage: Bacteria
Description: partial 16S ribosomal RNA
Rfam family: Bacterial small subunit ribosomal RNA
Source: RNAcentral